RNAcentral lists this ribosomal RNA (1211 nucleotides) under Bacillus sp. Fen_16. Its description in RNAcentral is "partial 16S ribosomal RNA". It matches the Rfam family "Bacterial small subunit ribosomal RNA". Lineage: Bacteria; Bacillati; Bacillota; Bacilli; Caryophanales; Bacillaceae. The record is from RNAcentral.
UGCAAGUCGAGCGGACAGAAGGGAGCUUGCUCCCGGAUGUUAGCGGCGGACGGGUGAGUAACACGUGGGUAACCUGCCUGUAAGACUGGGAUAACUCCGGGAAACCGGAGCUAAUACCGGAUAGUUCCUUGAACCGCAUGGUUCAAGGAUGAAAGACGGUUUCGGCUGUCACUUACAGAUGGACCCGCGGCGCAUUAGCUAGUUGGUGAGGUAACGGCUCACCAAGGCGACGAUGCGUAGCCGACCUGAGAGGGUGAUCGGCCACACUGGGACUGAGACACGGCCCAGACUCCUACGGGAGGCAGCAGUAGGGAAUCUUCCGCAAUGGACGAAAGUCUGACGGAGCAACGCCGCGUGAGUGAUGAAGGUUUUCGGAUCGUAAAGCUCUGUUGUUAGGGAAGAACAAGUGCAAGAGUAACUGCUUGCACCUUGACGGUACCUAACCAGAAAGCCGACGAGCGAACUAGCGUGCCAGCAGCCGAACAGGAUUAGAUACCCUAGGUAGUCAAGCGUUGUCCGGAAACGAUUGAGUGCGUAAAGGGCUCGCAGGCGGUUUCCGCCCCUUAAGUGCUGCAUGCUAACGCAUUAAGCACUCCGGCUCAACCGGGGAGUACGGUCAUUGCAAGACUGGGAAACUCAAAUGCAGAAUUGACGGAGAGUGCCCGAAUUCAAGCGGUGGAGCAUGUGAUUUAAUGCGAAGCAGACGCGAAGGAACCUUACCAGUGGCUUGAAGGCGACUCUCUGGUCUGACAACCCUAGACGAUGAGGAGCUUUCCCUUCGGGGACAGAGUGACAGGUGGUGCAUGGUUGUCGUCAGCUCGUGUCGUGAGAUGUUGGGUUAAGUCCCGCAACGAGCGCAACCCUUGAUCUUAGUUGCCAGCAUUCAGUUGGGCACUCUAAGGUGACUGCCGGUGACAAACCGGAGGAAGGUGGGGAUGACGUCAAAUCAUCAUGCCCCUUAUGACCUGGGCUACACACGUGCUACAAUGGACAGAACAAAGGGCUGCGAGACCGCAAGGUUUAGCCAAUCCCACAAAUCUGUUCUCAGUUCGGAUCGCAGUCUGCAACUCGACUGCGUGAAGCUGGAAUCGCUAGUAAUCGCGGAUCAGCAUGCCGCGGUGAAUACGUUCCCGGGCCUUGUACACACCGCCCGUCACACCACGAGAGUUUGCAACACCCGAAGUCGGUGAGGUAACCUUUAUGGAGCCAGC